GUUCUUGAAAUUUAAAAAAUUUGGCGGUAUUUUAGUCUUUUCAGUGGAACCUGCCCUAUAAUUGAUAGUCCACGAUUUAUUGUACUUAAUUUAAUAGUUUGUAUAUCGUUGUAGUUGAAUAUCUUAUAAGAGUUAAAAUAUUCAAUAUUUAUAAUUUUAUAGAAAAAAUCAAAUCAAGAUACAGUUUAUAUUUAAGAAGAGGUGGGUUACAAUAAAUUUAUUUAUAGUUAUAGUAAUUAAAAUUAUUAUUUAAAUUGGAUUUGAAAGUAAUUUUAUUUUAAUUAAAAUAAGUGAUUUAAGCUCUAAAAUAUGCACAUAUCGCCCGUCGCUUCCAUUGAAAUUUUUAAAUUGGAAUAAGUCGUAACAUAGUAGGUGUACCGGAAGGUGUACCUAGAUUGCAAAUUAAAGCUUAAAUAAAAAGUAUCUUAUUUACAUUAAGAGGAUAGUUGUGUAACUCAAUUUAGUUUGAAUUUAAGUAUUUAUAUUUUAUUUUUUUUUAUUUAAAAAAAAUAUUUUUUUGUUUAUUUAUAAAUUUAGAUAAAAUUAAAAUAAUUAUAGAUUAUUAGUAUAGUGGUAGAUUAUUUAAAAAUUUGAAAAUUUAAAUAUUUAGAAGAAAAAUUUAUUUUUUGUACCUUGUGUAUCAGGGUUUAUUAAAUAAUAGUUAUUAAAUUUAAUUUUCUCGAAUUUAAAAGAGCUAAUAAAUUAUAUAUUUUAUUGUAAAAUAAAUAUUUAAAAUAAUUUUUUAGUAAUGAAACGUUAGUCGUUUUUAAAUUUAUCUAGUUUUUUAAGAAAUAAAUUAAAUUUAGUUAUUUAUUUUAAUUAAAAUAAAUUUUUAUUUUAUAUUAAUAUGAUUAAUUAAUAUUUUAAGGGAUAAGCUUUAGAAUAAAAUUUUUAAAAAUUAAAUUUAAUAUAUAUAUAAUGUAUUAUAUAUACAUAUAUAUUAUAUAUAUACAUAUAAAUUAGUAGGAUUAGAAAUUUUUAUCUUUGAUAAUGUGUUAUAAUAAAUUUAUUUUUAUAUUAAAUUUUUAUAUAAUUUUAAAUUAUUUAUUAAAAUUAUUUAUUUAAUGAAAAAUUAUGUGUAAUAAUGAUAAAAUUAGUAUAAUUUUUAUGUUAAUUUACUUUGUAUAAUAAAGGUUAAAUUAAGGAAUUCGGCAAAUAAAUUUUCUGCCUGUUUAUUAAAAACAUGUCUUUUUGAUUAUAAUUUAAAGUCUGACCUGCCCUAUGAAAUUUUAUUUUAAAUGGCCGCGGUAUUUUGACCGUGCAAAGGUAGCAUAAUCAUUAGUUUCUUGAUUAGGAACUGGUAUGAAUGGUUGGACAAGAAAAUUACUGUCUCAAUUUAAUUUCUAUUAAAAUUUUAUUUUUAAGUUAAAAAGCUUAAAUAAUUUUAAAAGACGAGAAGACCCUAUAGAGUUUUAUAUUGUUUUAUUUAUUUGAAAUUUUUAGUAGUUUAUAUUUAAUUAAAAAUAAUAAUAUUUAGUUGGGUGAUUGAAAAAUUUAAUUAACUUUUUUUAAAAAUUAAACA
Molecule: ribosomal RNA, 1522 nt
Filed under: Lepanus occidentalis
Lineage: Eukaryota; Metazoa; Arthropoda; Insecta; Coleoptera; Scarabaeidae
Description: partial large subunit ribosomal RNA
Source: RNAcentral